ACAGCUCGAAAGAACACUUCUCAGAGGUGAGAAUCAGGUUCGGUUUCAAUUUAAUUAUUUAGUAUAACCAAAACUAAGGGGCGUGAAUUACAGAUUAAUCAUUGUUUUAUUAUUUGUUGAUUAUGAUGGUGUUUCUCGAUUCUGAGGUGAUUGAACUACUUGUGCAAUUUCUUUUCAAACAAAUGCUAAUUAGCCAAAAUUAUUUUAUUUGAUUGAGAAAUAGCUGAGAAUUGGGGAGAAAUCAAAUAACCGAUAAGAUUAAUAGCAAUGAAUUAAUGGGUUAAUUUGAUUGGACCCUAUUUGGAGUGGUUUGGCAUUACUCACUGGGUUCAAAAGCUUAGCAUCUUGCUAUGUAGUAACCAAUCCAGUCUUGUAGUUGUGGCUUUGGCGCAAGAGGUGUUUGAUAAAAUAUCUCAGGGUGUAAGAAUUAUUCCGUAACUUUAUUUAAAAUAAUUGAGUAAGAUGAUUUCUAAAAGGUCACAACAACAAUACCAGAAGAUAGCUAAAAAGCAACAUUAAGGAUGUCCUAGCAACAUAAAAAAGGGAAGUAGUUGUGGCAAAACAAGAAUUGCAAAACAAUGGUCCUACAAGAAUCAUAAACUGGUAUAUGACCAAGAGAUUUUUACAUUAAUUAUUUCCAACAUACCUUACAUUUUUUUUUAUAUGCUACAAGUUAGUAAAUGAAGUAAUAAGUUAAAUAAAGAGUGAAAGCUUCAAUGAUCUUGUUCCUGCUAGAUAUAUUUUAUUUAUUUAUUUAUUUUUAUCUCGUUUCCAAGUCAAACUGGGCUGGCACCAUACAAACUCGAAACUACACAUAUGCUUGGAAUCCCUGUACAUUUUUCCUUUUUUUUUCUUAUUUCAAAAUUAUAUGUCUUGUUUAUAAAGAGUUGACCAGGAAAAUUUUAGUGGCAAGAAAUUUGCUAUUAACAAAUGUAAGGAAGGGAUUAAAGGGAGAAGCUAUAAAGAAAAAGCUUGUGGUUGUUCUUCGGGAUUCACUUCGAACCUGCAUGGAUAUCAUGAAUCCAUUAAAUUUACAUUCAUGGGAAGAAGAGAAUCAAAGCCAAGACUGUGAUCCUCAAGAAACCACUCUCCGCAAAGACUCCAAUCAGGUGCAUUUGUUUUAAACUUCAGUUCCUCAAGUAAUAUUUUCACUUAAAGUUUGCCUUUUGAUUUGAGACAUGAAAUUAAAAUACUGAUUGGUCAUUUAUUGAUAAAAAUUUGGUAAAAGAUAAAAUUUUUGUAAAACUCUGGCUGUAUAGCCUUUUAUCAAUCUUAAUUUUGCAUGUAAAUCGUAAGAGCUAUAGUCACAAAAGGUCUAGUAUGAUAUCUUUGAGAGUAUAACUAUUUUUUAGAACUGAUUUAUGUUUGCAACACUGAUAUUACCAAAAAUGCAUGAAAUGAAGCUACCUUUAAUUUUAUGAUAAUUGCUUGUUGAACAUGCCGUGUGGUUAUCCUUGCAAGUUACUGCAUAUACAAGUUAGUAUAUGCUUACUACAUGUUGAUGAAAUAGCUGAGAGGAGUUAAUAGACAACAAAGUACCAUCUCAGGUGCAUUUGUUCUAGAUUUUAACUCCAUCGAUUAUAUUUUCACUUAAAGGCUAUUGGUUAGUUGUUUUGAAAUCUCUACUAGACUAAUUUAUAAUAUUGGUUGGUCAAUUUAUUUUCCUUGUUUUGAUAAAAAUGGGUAAACUCUAGCUCUGCAAUUUUUAUCAAUAUUGUUUUUGCAUCAGAGCUGUAUUAACAAAAGGCUCAACAUGAUAUCUGAAAGAUGGUCAUUUUAAAGAACCGAUUUAGACUACUAAUCUAAAUCCUAAAUGCGUGAAAUUAUAUUGUCUUUAACAAUAUAGUAACUGAAUGUUUGGAACUUGUGUUAGGCAAUAUAGCCAUUAUAUAUUGCGGUUAAACAUGUAAAUUUGUUUGCUUAAGAGAACUUUGCCAUAAGCCAAGGACAAAAAUCCAGGUUCUAUUUCAAUUUAUUUAAUAUAAGCAUGAAACUAUUUGAAGAGCUAUAUAUAUAUAUUUGCUCAACUACUACUUUCGCAUGGGAAAAUAUUAAAUAUUAGCUAUAUUUGUUUUCUUGAAACGAUGGCUCUAGUUCACAUUGCAUAAUUUCCAAUAACUGUUGAAAACUGUUAGAAGUAUGAAAAGGAAAUAGCACAAAUUUGUUAAGGCCAAGUGUUGGCCAUGGCUGAUUUUAAUCGUGUCUUCGAUCACAAAAUCCUCAUAGUCGACUAAGGAUAGAAAAACUCAUUGUUUAUAUAUGGUUUGACUUUAAAGCAUUUUCUUAACAAGGCUGAAAUUUCUUUCUAGUUUUACUGCUAUUUCUUGGGUUAUGUUACAACAUGAAUUAUACUACGAGGUGUUGCCGUAAAGUUUUGGAUGCAAAGCUAAGCUCACGAGUUGUUGGUGAAAUGACUUUUCUUAUCAAAAAUAUCAAAUACUACAAGCCCUUUGAUCAUGUGCAUUUGUUCUAAUUCUUAAUUUCGUAGAUUAUCUUUCAAAGUCAAGUUACUACUUAAGCUUGAAAUGCCUACUAGUUUCGGUUUUUAUUCAUUGUGAUAAUGCAUGUGUAAAUUUAUUAGUCUCAAACGCACCAACAACAUGAUCAAAUGCUAUUCAUCCUUGGACAAUGUGCUAUAAAUCUUUGUUAGGAGCAAGUUUGAUCUUUAAAGCAAAAUUAUAUUUUUCAAAGGUAAAAAAUACCAUGAGGAAAUAGUGAACUUCAUGGUGAUAUGCUUAUUAUCUACCAAUUCACUAACCAUGAUUUAUUAGUUUAAUUUUGUUAAGCUUACUUCAAGGUUGCGCCUAAAAUUCUAUCCAACUAUCAAUUGGGUGUGCUUUGUCCAAAGUAUUGCAAUUGUCUACUAUCACGUCUGUAGGCUAUACAAAUUUCAUGGUAUUUCUUAUCGAAUACUUUUGAAAAGUCAAAUGGAAUCAGUUAGGGUGAGGGAGACAAUGUCACAUAGUGUUUGAAUAUUUUGUGAAUUAUCUAUUUACAGGGUACAUCUACUUAUGAUAUUUGUUAAUAAUUGCCUCUAUCUAAAGUUCUAAGAAUUGGUUAUGAAGCAUAAGUUUUCGGAAUUGGAGAUGUCAUUGUUUAUAAAGCAUCCCCAUUCCUCAAUUAACUUUUCUGGGAUUGCAUAUUUUACUGAUAUUACUUAAAUUAAAUGCUUGAAAUGAAGCUACCGUUAAUUUUAUGAUAGUUGAUAAAAGUUCUGGAAUUUAUUGAACCUGUCGUGUGGUUG
RNAcentral lists this long non-coding RNA (3244 nucleotides) under Citrus sinensis (sweet orange). Its description in RNAcentral is "long non-coding RNA (CSIN_LNC002922)". Lineage: Eukaryota; Viridiplantae; Streptophyta; Magnoliopsida; Sapindales; Rutaceae. The record is from RNAcentral.